Molecule: ribosomal RNA, 253 nt
Filed under: uncultured bacterium
Lineage: Bacteria
Description: partial 16S ribosomal RNA
Rfam family: Bacterial small subunit ribosomal RNA
Source: RNAcentral
UACGAAGGGGACUAGCGUUGUUCGGAAUUACUGGGCGUAAAGCGCACGUAGGCGGAUUUGUUAGUCAGGGGUGAAAUCCCGGGGCUCAACCUCGGAACUGCCUUUGAUACUGCAAAUCUCGAGUCCGAUAGAGGUGGGUGGAAUUCCUAGUGUAGAGGUGAAAUUCGUAGAUAUUAGGAAGAACACCAGUGGCGAAGGCGGCUCACUGGUCCGGUACUGACGCUGAGGUGCGAAAGCGUGGGGAGCAAACAGG